AGAGUUUGAUCAUGGCUCAGAAUCAACGCUGGCGGCGUGCCUAACACAUGCAAGUCGAGCGAGAAAAGGGGGGCAACUCCCUGAGUAAAGCGGCGCACGGGUGAGUAACACGUGGGUAAUCUGCCCUGGAGUGGGGAAUAACACCGGGAAACCGGUGCUAAUACCGCAUACGAUAACGGAGUCCGCGGACAUCGUUAUGAAAGGAGCAAUUCGCUCUAGGAGGAGCCCGCGGCUGAUUAGCUAGUUGGUGAGGUAACGGCUCACCAAGGCUUCGAUCAGUAUCCGGUCUGAGAGGACGGUCGGACACACUGGAACUGAGACACGGUCCAGACUCCUACGGGAGGCAGCAGUGGGGGAAUUUUUCGCNGGGGGCAACCCUGACGAAGCAACGCCGCGUGGGGUGAUGAAGUAUCUCGGUACGUAAAACCCUUUCGACGGGGAAAGAGAACCGCAAGGUUUGACGGUACCCCGUAGAAGAAGCCCCGGCUAACUCCGUGCCAGCAGCCGCGGUAAUACGGGGGGGGCAAGCGUUGUUCGGAAUUACUGGGCGUAAAGGGUGCGUAGGCGGUCCGCUAAGUUAGAUGUGAAAACUCUGGGCUUAACCCAGAGCCUGCAUCUAAUACUGACGGGCUAGAGUUCUGGAGGGGAUAGCGGAAUUCCUGGUGUAGCGGUGAAAUGCGUAGAUAUCAGGAGGAACACCGGUGGCGAAGGCGGCUAUCUGGACAGAGUCUGACGCUGAGGCACGAAAGCUAGGGGAGCAAACAGGAUUAGAUACCCUAGUAGUCC
This 786-nucleotide ribosomal RNA is filed under the name uncultured bacterium. RNAcentral's name for it is "bacterial SSU rRNA". It matches the Rfam family "Bacterial small subunit ribosomal RNA", at positions 8 to 796 of the family's 1533-position model. The record is from RNAcentral.